CUUAAUAUUUCACUCUCUUAAUCAUCUAGCUGACUAUUUUAUAAUUUCAUAUCUGUUAUCUACUUUGUCUAUUUUUUAUUUAUUCUUUAUAUCUUCAUCUUUGUCUUUUAUUCUCAUCUGCUAAUUAUAUCACUUUUAGAUUGACUUAAUUACUGAGUUCAAACUCAUCUGUAAUCUCUUCUUAAUCUCUCUUCUUAAUCUCUGAUUGAUUCUCAGCAGUGUCUGUUAUAAAAUUCUUCUCAUUCUCUUUCUAUUUCUUACAAUAUUAUUAGAGUUGCUAACCUCAAUUCUUUGAGUUAUUCUUCAGUUGCAACCAUCUAAAAUAGCACUC
RNAcentral lists this small RNA (331 nucleotides) under Histoplasma capsulatum. RNAcentral describes it as "hypothetical RNA". The record is from RNAcentral. Lineage: Eukaryota; Fungi; Ascomycota; Eurotiomycetes; Onygenales; Ajellomycetaceae. RNAcentral also lists the same sequence under 1 other name.